Molecule: signal recognition particle RNA, 295 nt
Filed under: Cavia porcellus (domestic guinea pig)
Lineage: Eukaryota; Metazoa; Chordata; Mammalia; Rodentia; Caviidae
Description: Metazoan signal recognition particle RNA
Rfam family: Metazoan signal recognition particle RNA
About the family: The signal recognition particle (SRP) is a universally conserved ribonucleoprotein. It is involved in the co-translational targeting of proteins to membranes. The eukaryotic SRP consists of a 300-nucleotide 7S RNA and six proteins: SRPs 72, 68, 54, 19, 14, and 9.
Source: Rfam by way of RNAcentral
GCCGGACGCGGUGGCGCGCGCCUGUAGUCCCAGCUACUCGGGAGGCUGAGGUGGGAGGAUCGCUUGAGUCCAGGAGUUCUGGGCUGCAGUGCGCUAUGCCGAUCGGGUGUCCGCACUAAGUUCGGCAUCAAUAUGGUGACCUCCCGGGAGCGGGGGACCACCAGGUUGCCUAAGGAGGGGUGAACCGGCCCAGGUCGGAAACGGAGCAGGUCAAAACUCCCGUGCUGAUCAGUAGUGGGAUCGCGCCUGUGAAUAGCCACUGCACUCCAGCCUGGGCAAUAUAGUGAGACCCUGU